GCCCAGCCGUAAAUAUUAACUUACACCAAAAAACGCCAGGGGACUACGAGCAAAGCUUAAAACCCAAAGGACUUGACGGUGUCCUAUCCAACUAGAGGAGCCUGUCCUAUAAUCGAUAAUCCCCGCUAUACCUCACCAUUUCUUGCUUAUCAGCCUGUAUACCGCCGUCGAAAGCUGACCGUAUGAACGUCCAAAGUCAGCUAAAUGGCCACCCGCCAAUACGUCAGGUCAAGGUGCAGCUUAUGAAAUGGGAAGAGAUGGGCUACAAUUUCUAAUAUAGAACAUACGGAUUGUUGGGUGAAACCCUAACAUGAAGGAGGAUUUAGUAGUAAAAAGAAAAUAGAGUGUUCUUUUGAAUUAGGCCCUGGGACGCGUACACACCGCCCGUCACCCCCCUCGAUAGCAUCUCUUAACAGUACAUAACACAAUAUUCGCGCCUUAGAGGGGGCAAGUCGUAACAUGGUAAGUGUACUGGAAAGUGCACUUGGUUAACAUCAAGAAGUAGCUUAAGUAAAGCCAUCCGCUUACACCGGUAAUAUGUCUGUUUAAAUCAGACCAUCUUGAGCCAUAAAUCUAGCCCACAUCCCCAGAAAUAUCAACCCAAAUUUAUCAAAAUUUAAUAAAACAUUUUUAUGUUAAAGUAGAGGAGAUCAAAAAAUCUCUAGGCGCUUAAGACAAGGUACCGAAAGGGAAAGAUGAAAUAGAAAUGAAACAACCCCCAAGCCCAUAAUAGCAGAGAUUCACCCUCG
RNAcentral lists this ribosomal RNA (749 nucleotides) under Staurois latopalmatus (Sabah splash frog). Its description in RNAcentral is "partial 12S ribosomal RNA". The stretch from base 1 to 500 matches the Rfam family "Bacterial small subunit ribosomal RNA", at positions 794 to 1533 of the family's 1533-position model. The record is from RNAcentral. Lineage: Eukaryota; Metazoa; Chordata; Amphibia; Anura; Ranidae.